AUUGAACGCUGGCGGCAGGCCUAACACAUGCAAGUCGAGCGGAGCGGCGGAGGGGGGAGUAAUGCCUAGGAAUCUGCAUGGUAGUGGGGGAGAACGACAGGAAAUGGGAGCUAAUACCGCAUACUAUUGGAUGAGCCUAGGUCGGAUUAGCUAGUUGGGGGGGUAAAGGCCUACCAAGGCGACGAUCCGUAACUGGUCUGAGAGGAUGAUCAGUCACACUGGAACUGAGACACGGUCCAGACUCCUACGGGAGGCAGCAGUGGGGAAUAUUGGACAAUGGGCGAAAGCCUGAUCCAGCCAUGCCGCGUGUGUGAAGAAGGUCUUCGGAUUGUAAAGCACUUUAAGUUGGGAGGCGUUACCAGCAGAAUAAGCACCGGCUAACUUCGUGCCAGCAGCCGCGGUAAUUC
RNAcentral lists this ribosomal RNA (407 nucleotides) under uncultured bacterium. Its description in RNAcentral is "partial 16S ribosomal RNA". It matches the Rfam family "Bacterial small subunit ribosomal RNA", at positions 30 to 526 of the family's 1533-position model. The record is from RNAcentral.